This 253-nucleotide ribosomal RNA is filed under the name uncultured bacterium. Its description in RNAcentral is "partial 16S ribosomal RNA". It matches the Rfam family "Bacterial small subunit ribosomal RNA", at positions 524 to 776 of the family's 1533-position model. The record is from RNAcentral.
UACGGAGGGUGCGAGCGUUGUCCGGAAUCACUGGGCGUAAAGGGCGCGUAGGCGGCCUGAUAAGUAGGGGGUGAAAUCCUGCGGCUUAACCGCAGGGCUGCCUUCUAAACUGUCAGGCUUGAGCACAGUAGAGGCAGGUGGAAUUCCCGGUGUAGCGGUGGAAUGCGUAGAGAUCGGGAAGAACAUCAGUGGCGAAGGCGGCCUGCUGGGCUGUUGCUGACGCUGAUGCGCGAAAGCGUGGGGAGCGAUCCGG